This 506-nucleotide ribosomal RNA is filed under the name uncultured bacterium. RNAcentral describes it as "bacterial SSU rRNA". It matches the Rfam family "Bacterial small subunit ribosomal RNA", at positions 28 to 526 of the family's 1533-position model. The record is from RNAcentral.
GAUGAACGCUAGCGACAGGCCUAACACAUGCAAGUCGAGGGGCAUCAUAGAGGUAGCAAUACUUCGGUGGCGACCGGCGCACGGGUGAGUAACACGUAUGCAACCUUCCGUUUACACGGGGAUAAUCCGGCGAAAGUCGGUCUAAUACCCGAUGGUACUGAUUAAUUGCAUGAUUGAUUAGUUAAAGAUUUAUUGGUAAACGAUGGGCAUGCGUAACAUUAGCUAGUUGGUGAGGUAACGGCCCACCAAGGCAACGAUGUUUAGGGGUUCUGAGAGGAAGGUCCCCCACACUGGUACUGAGACACGGACCAGACUCCUACGGGAGGCAGCAGUGAGGAAUAUUGGUCAAUGGGCGAGAGCCUGAACCAGCCAAGUCGCGUGAAGGAAGACUGUCCUAUGGAUUGUAAACUUCUUUUGUAAGGGAAUAAAAAAGGGUACGUGUACUCUAUUGUAUGUACUUUACGAAUAAGGAUCGGCUAACUCCGUGCCAGCCGCCGCAGUAACAC